GCCCUUGUGGCACAGUGGUUAAAGCACUUGGCUGCUAACCAAAAGGUUGGUGGUUCAAACCCACCAACUGCU
Transfer RNA from Loxodonta africana (African savanna elephant), 72 nucleotides. It matches the Rfam family "tRNA". Rfam says of the family: Transfer RNA (tRNA) molecules are approximately 80 nucleotides in length. Their secondary structure includes four short double-helical elements and three loops (D, anti-codon, and T loops). The record is from Rfam. Lineage: Eukaryota; Metazoa; Chordata; Mammalia; Proboscidea; Elephantidae.